GAUGAACGCUAGCGGCAGGCUUAACACAUGCAAGUCGAGGGGUAGAUUACUUCGGUAAUUGAGACCGGCGCACGGGUGCGUAACGCGUAUACAAUCUACCUUUUACAGAGGGAUAGCCCAGAGAAAUUUGGAUUAAUACCUCAUAGUAUUUUCGAAUCGCAUGAUUUGAUUAUUAAAGUUCCAACGGUAAAAGAUGAGUAUGCGUCCCAUUAGCUAGAUGGUAAGGUAACGGCUUACCAUGGCUACGAUGGGUAGGGGUCCUGAGAGGGAGAUCCCCCACACUGGUACUGAGACACGGACCAGACUCCCACGGGAGGCAGCAGUGAGGAAUAUUGGACAAUGGGCGCAAGCCUGAUCCAGCCAUGCCGCGUGCAGGAAGAAGGUCCUAUGGAUUGUAAACUGCUUUUAUACAGGAAGAAACACACCCUCGUGAGGGUACUUGACGGUACUGUAUGAAUAAGGACCGGCUAACUCCGUGCCAGCAGCCGCGGU
Molecule: ribosomal RNA, 492 nt
Filed under: uncultured bacterium
Lineage: Bacteria
Description: bacterial SSU rRNA
Rfam family: Bacterial small subunit ribosomal RNA
Source: RNAcentral